This 520-nucleotide ribosomal RNA is filed under the name uncultured Glomus. RNAcentral's name for it is "SSU rRNA". It matches the Rfam family "Eukaryotic small subunit ribosomal RNA", at positions 569 to 1091 of the family's 1831-position model. Lineage: Eukaryota; Fungi; Glomeromycota; Glomeromycetes; Glomerales; Glomeraceae. The record is from RNAcentral.
AGCAGCCGCGGUAAUUCCAGCUCCAAUAGCGUAUAUUAAAGUUGUUGCAGUUAAAAAAGCUCGUAGUUGAAUUUCGAGACCGGCUUACUGAUCGUGCUAUUGUACGUACUGGUAUAAUCGGUUUCUCCUUUCUGACGAACUAUAAUGCCAUUAAUUUGGUGUUAUAGGGAAUCAGGACUGUUACUUUGAAAAAAUUAGAGUGUUUAAAGCAGGCUCACGCUUGAAUACAUUAGCAUGGAAUAACGGAAUAGGACGUUUGAUUCUAUUUUGUUGGUUUCUAGGAUCGACGUAAUGAUUAAUAGGGAUAGUUGGGGGCAUUAGUAUUCAAUUGUCAGAGGUGAAAUUCUUGGAUUUAUUGAAGACUAACUACUGCGAAAGCAUUUGCCAAGGAUGUUUUCAUUAAUCAAGAACGAAAGUUAGGGGAUCGAAGACGAUCAGAUACCGUCGUAGUCUUACCAUAAACUAUGCCGACUAGGGAUCGGAUGAUGUUAAUUUUUUAAUGACUCAUUCGGCGCCUUAA